CAGUAUCUGGGUAGAGGUCACA
This 22-nucleotide non-coding RNA is filed under the name Rattus norvegicus (Norway rat). Lineage: Eukaryota; Metazoa; Chordata; Mammalia; Rodentia; Muridae. The record is from RNAcentral.